Molecule: microRNA precursor, 52 nt
Filed under: Cercocebus atys (sooty mangabey)
Lineage: Eukaryota; Metazoa; Chordata; Mammalia; Primates; Cercopithecidae
Also listed under: 4 other names
Description: mir-1302 microRNA precursor family
Rfam family: mir-1302 microRNA precursor family
Source: Rfam by way of RNAcentral
UUUUCAGCAUAUGUAUGUCUCAUGGAAUAUUUGGGAUAUAUUUAUACUAAAA